Molecule: transfer RNA, 67 nt
Filed under: Hydropsyche fryeri
Lineage: Eukaryota; Metazoa; Arthropoda; Insecta; Trichoptera; Hydropsychidae
Description: tRNA-Leu
Source: RNAcentral
AUUAUUUUGGCAGAAUUAAUGCAUUGAAUUUAGAAUUCAUUUAUAUAUUAAUAAAAUAUAAAUAAUA